UKUUUUUUCUCCCCCCCCCCGCUCAUACGGAGGGUGCAGCGUUAAUCGGWAUUACUGGGCGUAAAGCGGCACGCAGGCGGUCAAGUYAAGUCAGGAUGUAGAAAKCCCCGAGCUUMACYUGGGAAAUUGCAUCUGAAACUGGUUGGCUAGAGUCUUGUAGAGGGGGGUAGRAUUYCAUGUGUAGCGGUGAAAUGCGUAGAGAUKUGGAGGAAUACCGGUGGCGAAGGCGGCCCCCUGGACAAAGACUGACGSUCAGGUGCGAAAGCGUGGGGAGCAAACAGGAWUAGAUACCCUGGUAGUYCACGCCGUWAACGAWGUYGAUUURGAGGUUGUGGUCYUGAACCGUGGCUUYYGGAGCUAACGCGUUAAAUYGACCGCCUGGGGAGUACGGCCGCAAGGUUAAAACUCAAAUGAAUUGACGGGGGCCCGCACMAGCGGUGGAGCAUGUGGUUUAAUUCGAUGCAACGCGAAGAACCUUACCUACUYUUGACAUCCAGCGAAUCCUUUAGAGAUAGAGGAGKGCCUUYGGGAACGCUGAGACMGGUGSUGCAUGGCYGUCGUCAGCUCGUGUUGUGAAAUGUUGGGUUAAGUCCCGCAACGAGCGCAACCCUUAUCCUUUGUUGCCAGCACGUAAUGSUGGGAACUCAAAGGAGACUGCCGKUGAUAAACCGGGAGGAAGGUGGGGAUGACGUCAAGUCAUCAUGGCCCUUUACGAGUAGGGCUUACACACGUGCUACAAUGGCAGAUACAAAGAGAAGCGACYUCGCGAGAGCAAGCGGACACUCAUAAAGUCUGUCGUAGUCCKGAUUGGAGUCUGCAACUCGACUCCAKRAGUCGAUCGCUAGUAUCGUAAGAUCAGAUGCUACGUGAURCUUCUCSCCCRRGCUCUUA
RNAcentral lists this ribosomal RNA (891 nucleotides) under Listeria monocytogenes. Its description in RNAcentral is "partial 16S ribosomal RNA". It matches the Rfam family "Bacterial small subunit ribosomal RNA", at positions 495 to 1385 of the family's 1533-position model. The record is from RNAcentral. Lineage: Bacteria; Bacillati; Bacillota; Bacilli; Caryophanales; Listeriaceae.